RNAcentral lists this ribosomal RNA (460 nucleotides) under uncultured bacterium. RNAcentral describes it as "partial 16S ribosomal RNA". It matches the Rfam family "Bacterial small subunit ribosomal RNA", at positions 338 to 795 of the family's 1533-position model. The record is from RNAcentral.
CCUACGGGAGGCAGCAGUGAGGAAUAUUGGUCAAUGGUCGCGAGCCUGAACCAGCCAAGCCGCGUGAGGGAUGACGGUCCUACGGGUUGUAAACCUCUUUUGCCGGGGAACAACGGGCGUCACGUGUGGCGCCACUGAGAGUCCCCGGAGAAAAGGCAUCGGCUAACUCCGUGCCAGCAGCCGCGGUAUUACGGGGAAUGCGAGCGUUAUCCGGAUUUAUUGGGUUUAAAGGUGGCGUGGGGGGCUCGUUAGGUCAGUGGUCAAAUGCAGGGGCUCAACCCCUCCCCGCCGUUGAAACUGGCGGUCUUGAGUGGGAGAGAAGUAUGCGGAAUGCGUGGUGUAGCGGUGAAAUGCAUAGAUAUCACGCAGAACCCCGAUUGCGAAGGCAGCAUGCCGGCUUCCGACUGACGCUGAAGCACGAAAGCGUGGGGAUCGAACAGGAUUAGAUACCCGAGUAGUC